GUUUUUAAUUAAAUGGGAAGAUCUCCUUGCUGAGAAAAGGCGCACUCCAACAAGUAGCUUGGACCAAAGAAGAAGAUGAUCUCUCUCGAUCUCUCUUUCUCUCCCCCAAAACCAACUUAGGGGUGGAUGUGGUACUGUAAACUCAAAAUUUCAUGUAAAUCGCAAACCGCCCGAGAAAUCGCGGUAUUGCAUUAUUUGAGAUCGCAAACCAGCCAAAGAGUUGAGGUUAAUCGCAACUCGGUGGAAUCGCAAAUCGGUCAAUGUCCACAACGGUAUUCACCGAUUGUGUUGUUUUGGGCCUAAACAAUCCAAGCAAUCCCAGAAAAUCCACCACCCUAACUAGGCCUGGAAAAAAAAAAAAGAGGGAGAGAAGAGAUGGAAACAGACAUAGAGAGGAAGAAGGAGGAAAAAAGAAAGAAAGAUAGAGGUAGAGAAGAAGUU
RNAcentral lists this long non-coding RNA (441 nucleotides) under Prunus dulcis (almond). Its description in RNAcentral is "sRNA ncRNA". The record is from RNAcentral. Lineage: Eukaryota; Viridiplantae; Streptophyta; Magnoliopsida; Rosales; Rosaceae.